GUGCAGUAGAGGGUAGAGCGAGGAGGAGGUGCAGUAGAGGGUAGAGCGAGGAGGAGGUGCAGUAGAGGGUAGAGCGAGGAGGAGGUGCAGUGAGGGUAGAGCGAGGUGGAGGUGCAGUGAGGGUAGAGCGAGGAGGAGGUGCAGUGAGGGUAGAGCGAGGAGAUCCAGUGAGGGAAGAGCAUGGAGGAGGUCCAUUGAGAAUGUAGCGAGGAGGUGCAGUGUUUAGUUGCUAUGGUAACUGUUAUGGUGUUAAAGGCUCUAGUAAGAGAUUGACCUCAGUUCUCAGGUCAGUCUCCGUGCCAACCAGGCCAAACACCCGACAGAGAUUAACUACUCAACUCAUUUUCCCUCUAAACUGUGCUGCUUUCAACCUCUUCCAUCCCUCCAUCCAUCCGUCUAUCCGGAACCUGGUUCUAGACACUUCUCAUGAGGCCACAGUUCUAACAGAACCUCACAUUCCGUUACACUAACCCCCCAUCAGAUCCCUGUAGACCAUGGAUGGGGAGUAGUGUAACGGAACGUGAGGUUCUGUUAGAACUGUGUUCUACAGGGAUCUGAUGGUCGUAUAUCCUGUUGAGUCUUAUCUGCCGAUGCUUGAUAAAACAGUCUGAAUAGCGGCAGCAAAUUCACGCCAAAACCUGCCUCCCUUCCUGCCUCUCUGCCUCCCUCCCUGCCUCCCUCCCUGCCUCUCUGCCUCUCUGCCUCGCUGUGUUUAUGCUGAGAGGUGGAAGUGGACGUUUGGGUCACUGCACUGUUCAGACUCUGUUUGGUUGCCAUGGUUACAGCUGGAAGAUCUCUGAAAGGCUUUUCUCUGGUGUCCGUGUGAUGGAGCUGUAGAACCGAGUGUUCUCCAGACCAAUCCGUAACGUUCCACAGAGUUCCGAUCAGACAGAGAUGUUUAAGUUACCACAUCUGUUUCACAGCCUUAGACUUGAGUAUAAUCUAGUACCCGGUUCUGUUUAACAAAGUCAAACUGGUAGUAGAUGAAGGUAGACUGUAGUAGAUCGGGUGGUUAAACUGGUAGUAGAUGAAGGUUAAACUGGUAGUAGAUGUAGGUAGACUGUAGUAAAGCGGGUGGUUAAACUGGUAGUAGAUGAAGGUAGACUGUAGUAGAGAGGGUGGUUAAACUGGUAGUAGAUGAAGGUUAAACUGGUAGUAGAUGAAGGUAGACUGUAGUAGAGAGGGUGGUUAAACUGGUAGUAGAUGAAGGUUAAACUGGUAGUAGAUGAAGGUUAAACUGGUAGUAGAUGAAGGUUAAACUGGUAGUAGAUGAAGGUAGACUGUUUUAGAGUGGGUAAAGUUCACUGUGAUGUCACUCUUUGAUCUGUUCGGUUCACCUGGAUUCAGUCUACAGCUGGUGUUAGCUCAAUGCUAAGUGCUAGCGGUCAGCUAGUGCUAAUCCCUGCAGCUCUACAGGCUGUGAAAGGAGCGUCAGUAGACGCGGCAGCUGCAGUUUGUUGAUCUCUCCCGGCACCAUCUGUGGCAGCAUAUUGUGGCGGGUCUGUUGGCGGCGGUGGCGGGUGAGACGGUAAGACGCUGGCGGACGUUAGCGAGAUUAGCUCUCAGUGUGUCUCCAGUCUGAGAGACGCUUCAGAAGAGGCAAGAUCACAGCAUGGACAAACUGCGGCUGAGCUUCAGCAAGAUCUACCGCUUCACCGUACGCUUCACCUCCACCUACACCACCACCACCACCUUCACCACCCGCUCCACACCGUACACCCGCUCCACCCGUACACCCGCUCCACACCGUACACCACCUCCACCCGUACACCCGCUCCACCUGUACACCCGCUCCACACCGUACACCACCUCCACCCGUACACCCGCUCCACCCGUACACCACCUCCACCCGUACACCCGCUCCACCUGUACACCCGCUCCACACCGUACACCACCUCCACCCGUACACCCGCUCCACCCGUACACCCUCUCCACACCGUACACCACCUCCACCCGUACACCCGCUCCACCCGUACACCCGCUCCACACAGCAGAUUAUACUCCUAUUAUACCAGAUUAUACAGAGCGAGCCG
Long non-coding RNA from Astyanax mexicanus (Mexican tetra), 2033 nucleotides. RefSeq lists it as uncharacterized. The record is from RefSeq and is a predicted model, not a curated record. The transcript has 4 exons. Lineage: Eukaryota; Metazoa; Chordata; Actinopteri; Characiformes; Acestrorhamphidae.